Molecule: ribosomal RNA, 253 nt
Filed under: uncultured bacterium
Lineage: Bacteria
Description: partial 16S ribosomal RNA
Rfam family: Bacterial small subunit ribosomal RNA
Source: RNAcentral
GACGAACCGUGCGAACGUUGUUCGGAAUCACUGGGCAUAAAGGGCGCGUAGGCGGCUUAUCAAGUCAGGGGUGAAAUCCGGCAGCUCAACUGUCGAAGUGCCUUUGAUACUGAUGAGCUCGAGGGAGGUAGGGGUAUGUGGAACUUCCGGUGGAGCGGUGAAAUGCGUUGAUAUCGGAAGGAACGCCGGUGGCGAAAGCGACGUACUGGACCUCUUCUGACGCUGAGGCGCGAAAGCUAGGGGAGCAAACGGG